This 89-nucleotide transfer RNA is filed under the name marine sediment metagenome. RNAcentral describes it as "tRNA-Leu". It matches the Rfam family "tRNA". From Rfam's summary of the family: Transfer RNA (tRNA) molecules are approximately 80 nucleotides in length. Their secondary structure includes four short double-helical elements and three loops (D, anti-codon, and T loops). Further hydrogen bonds mediate the characteristic L-shaped molecular structure. tRNAs have two regions of fundamental functional importance: the anti-codon, which is responsible for specific mRNA codon recognition, and the 3' end, to which the tRNAs corresponding amino acid is attached (by aminoacyl-tRNA synthetases). tRNAs cope with the degeneracy of the genetic code in two manners: having more than one tRNA (with a specific anti-codon) for a particular amino acid; and 'wobble' base-pairing, i.e. permitting non-standard base-pairing at the 3rd anti-codon position. The record is from RNAcentral.
GCUGCUGUGGCCCAAUUGGUAGGAGGCGCCUGGUUGAGGUCCAGGUAGAGUUUUCAUCUCUUGUGCCGGUUCGAGUCCGGUCAGCAGCA